CCUACGGGGGGCUGCAGUGAGGAAUAUUGGUCAAUGGGCGGAAGCCUGAACCAGCCAUGCCGCGUGCAGGAAGACGGCCCUACGGGUUGUAAACUGCUUUUCCGGGGGAAGAAUAAGGCCGACGUGUCGGCCGAUGCCGGUACCCCGGGAAUAAGGAUCGGCUAACUCCGUGCCAGCAGCCGCGGUAAUACGGAGGAUCCGAGCGUUAUCCGGAUUUACGUGGUUUAAAGGGUGCGUAGGCGGGCGCUUAAAGGCGGGGGCUCAACCUUCGAACGGCCGUUGAUACUGGGCGCGUUGGAUUCGGGCGAGGCGGGCGGAAUGCGACAUGUAGCGGUGAAAUGCUUAGAUAUGUCGCAGAACGCCGAUUGCGAAGGCAGCUCGCCGGGCCGAUAUUGACGCUGAGGCACGAAAGCGUGGGGAUCGAACAGGAUUAGAUACCCCUGUAGUC
Molecule: ribosomal RNA, 448 nt
Filed under: uncultured bacterium
Lineage: Bacteria
Description: partial 16S ribosomal RNA
Rfam family: Bacterial small subunit ribosomal RNA
Source: RNAcentral